GUGCGACCCUUCAAUUUAUCUUCAUGGAGUUCCUGCAAAAUUUUAUUCCCGCAUUACUUGUCUUGAGUGUUUUGAAACCCUUGAUGAAUAUGACGAUCAUCUGAAGGCAAAGGCACAGCUUGCUUGAUGAGAAAAAUAUUCCUCCUCAGGUUAUCAAUAGUUUUGUGUGUCCGUCGUGCUUUUUACUUUUAACUUUUUAAAUGUCUACAGCACAUGUUUGAAAGCAAUCACUUCUUGUGAGCCAUCAAAUUAGAUGAUAAAGGGAUACCAUGUCCAAUACCAUUCUCUAUAUGCAAAAAAUGUUUUGAUUGCUCUGUGUAAGGACAUUCCAUUACAAGUGAAAUGCACAUCCUGCAAACAAGAACUACGUUCUCACGUGGAACUUACUGCUCAUUUUAGGUAAAUAUUUACACUUUUGUUAUGUAUAGGAUUUGAUACAUGAGGGAGCUGUGUGUAGCAGGGGGUGUAUUAGGCUUAAAAUAGCAUAAGGGUAGGAAGAGUGAACCUUGAACUUGUUGUCAGUUGACUAUUCCAUCUCAAUGGGAUGUGAAACUAUCAUUGCAGGGAUACCUCAAUGUUAAAAUUAGGAAGUAGUUUUGACAGUUGAGUGCUAGAGAUGUCUGUGAGUGCUAGAGAUGUCUGUGAGUGCUAGAGAUGUCUGUGAGUGCUAGAGAUGUCUGUGAGUGCUAGAGAUGUCUGUGAGUGCUAGAGGUGGAAGGAAGGAAUCUCAAAGUGAAUGGUUGAAAAUAUGGAAGGAGCAGAAGUAAGUCCAUCAUGUGAAUGGAUUCUUUGACUGGGAGUGAAUAAAAGGAGUUUAUAUUAAGAAAAGGGAGAAACCAGAA
Xenopus tropicalis (tropical clawed frog) is the source of this 842-nucleotide long non-coding RNA. RefSeq lists it as uncharacterized. The transcript is spliced from 3 exons. The record is from RefSeq and is a predicted model, not a curated record. NCBI's taxonomy places the organism in Eukaryota, Metazoa, Chordata, Amphibia, Anura, Pipidae.